GAUGAACGCUGGCGGCGUGCCUAAUACAUGCGAGUCGAGCGAACAGACGAGGAGCUUGCUCCUCUGACGUUAGCGGCGGACGGGUGAGUAACACGUGGAUAACCUACCUAUAAGACUGGGAUAACUUCGGGAAACCGGAGCUAAUACCGGAUAAUAUAUUGAACCGCAUGGUUCAAUAGUGAAAGACGGUUUUGCUGUCACUUAUAGAUGGAUCCGCGCCGCAUUAGCUAGUUGGUAAGGUAACGGCUUACCAAGGCAACGAUGCGUAGCCGACCUGAGAGGGUGAUCGGACACACUGGAACUGAGACACGGUCCAGACUCCUACGGGAGGCAGCAGUAGGGAAUCUUCCGCAAUGGGCGAAAGAGUGACGGAGCAACGCCGCGUGAGUGAUGAAGGUCUUCGGAUAGUAAAACUCUGUUAUUAGGGAAGAACAAAUGUGUAAGUAACUAUGCACGUCUUGACGGUACCUAAUCAGAAAGCCACGGCUAACUACGUG
RNAcentral lists this ribosomal RNA (497 nucleotides) under uncultured bacterium. RNAcentral's name for it is "partial 16S ribosomal RNA". It matches the Rfam family "Bacterial small subunit ribosomal RNA", at positions 28 to 507 of the family's 1533-position model. The record is from RNAcentral.